GGAACUCUUUAUCAGUUGCAUUGCCUCCUUGAUGCGCUGUCCCGGAGAGCAGAGCCUGAUGUAUCCAACUCCCUCGACAGAGAAAGUCCCACUCUAUCAAAGAGAAAGAAAAGUGCCGCUCCCUCGGUCUCGUGCACGAUCCUCAAACAACCUUAAUAUGGACAACAGCGAUGUCCAUUGUGAUCUCCAUGUCGACCCAUCAGUAGCUCAGCUACCGGCAAUGAAGACGCCAGAAAUAGAAAGUGGAAUUAAUAAGCCCGAACCAACGGGUCCAUCUUGAAAAUAAUAAUCACUCCAUUGAGAUGAGGAGUACACGUAACCUCUCUAUACGCAGCUUACCGCUAACAACAAUCGGCGGCGCAUUAACACAAACCGCCCAGACGAGUUUGUAGCUCACACUUGUAUUCUGUCACACGUAGUACACUACAAUACAGUACAGUACAGGAGAGGAGCAUUAUUGUCUGUUGCUCCUGUGUUUUCCCUUUCUUUCCGAUUCGGAUAUUUUUUUUAGACAAAUCCUUUUAUGUUUUAUCCCCAUGGAGAUAUACGUACUCACCUACCAAACCCUUUCAUUAAGUACGUGUUGGUGUGUGUGUUUUUUUUGAACCAN
This 610-nucleotide long non-coding RNA is filed under the name Hordeum vulgare. Its description in RNAcentral is "long non-coding RNA (HVUL_LNC005402)". The record is from RNAcentral. Lineage: Eukaryota; Viridiplantae; Streptophyta; Magnoliopsida; Poales; Poaceae.